Molecule: non-coding RNA, 2203 nt
Organism: Salmo salar (Atlantic salmon)
Lineage: Eukaryota; Metazoa; Chordata; Actinopteri; Salmoniformes; Salmonidae
Source: RefSeq, a predicted model, not a curated record
UCUAACACGUGGUUUCCAUGUGAUUGAUACCAUUCCGUUGUCUCCAUUCCAGCCAUUAUUAUAAGCCGUCCUCCCCUCAGCAGCCUCCACUGGCAUACAUGGAUUAUAUAUAGCAUCUUCAAAACGUGAAUCUCAGACCUGACAUGUCAAACCCAGGUAUGUGAAAUGCUCCUUCCUCCUGCUGAAUUGUGUUUCAACAGUGUUCAACAAUGUUCCUUCAUAUAACCCCCCCCAGAAUUUUCUAGCUACAUCAUGGUUCUGAAACAUAUAACUCCCAAAAGCAAAUAUAGCUGAUCAUGCAAAUUCAGACAUGCAUUAUAAGGAUGAGUCCCAAAUGGCACCCUAUUCCCUAUAUAAAGCAUUAACCUAUGGACCUUGGUCAAAAGUACUGCACUAUAUAGGGAAUAGGGUGUGCCACUUUGGGAUUGAGCCCACAUAUGACCAAGGAAGGAACAUCGACCGCUAACUUUACCUACUAAUAUGCAUAAUUCAGACAGACUUUACCUUCUGUAUUCAUGCAAAAUUCAAACACUCUCCACUGCCAUUACAACCUUACCAGAGAGAAGACCUCUCCAACUACACAGACCCCAACAACUGUGAAAAGAUGAACAAUUCCGUAGACGGCAAUUCUACUCUCCUCUCCACCAAAACCCUACUUUAUGUCCAGUAUCUAUUAUACACUGCUGGCGACUCAAUAAACCUCAUCCUGAGUCUUCCCACCAAUGCCUACGUCCUGUGGCUGAUAGUGAGCGGAGCGGGGGGGAUGAUGGCCUCAGACUUUUUCUCUCUCAACCUGGCCGUGACUGAUAUACUCACCUGCUUGUCCAGUCUGAUGUUUAUACUCCAUAAUCACAUCCUGCAUUACCUGCAAGAGGAUGGUGUUUUAUGGAGCGUUGCGAUUUUCUUUAAGGGUUUCAUCCUUACUGGUCGUCCUCUGUUCCAGUGUUGUAUCUGUGUGGAGCGCUACCUGGCGGUGGUCUACCCAGUAACCUUCCUGAAGUACAAACCCCCUAGGUACAGGGUGGGGUGUUGUGCUGUCGUCUGGCUGAUGGUGCUUGGGUCCUGCUUUGCUUAUAUGCUUGGUGAAUCAAAAUGUAUAAUGAAUGACUUUACUUUGGGUUUCACCCUGGUUAUGUGUUCUGUGAUGUUGUUCUGCUGCCUGGCUGUUCUCAGGGCCCUGAAAUGUCCUGGGCCAGGGGAAGAGGAAGGGAUGAACAACAUGAAACUGAGGGCCUUCAAAAUCAUUUCAAUGAUCCUGGUGUCUAUGGUUGUCACGUACCUCCCACUGGUUCUUCAGUUGAUCAUUUAUCGUUUUAUAAAACAAGUGGAGUAUACAUUUGGUAUGUCCAUUUGUUUCACUAUCCUAGUGGUCUCUGGGUUUGUGCAGCCCCUUCUCUACAUCCACAGAGCUGAGAAACUGCCCUGUAUCAGGAGUCCCUGAGGAGAUCGUCCUUAAAGAAGCUACAUGUAGCAUUUCAACCUAUUAGCUCUGAAUGGCAAUAAUAUAUCAUCUAGCAGUAAUGGAAUGAAAUUCUAUAAUUAUUUAAACAUUGUCCCUGACACCAGGGCUGCCAAAUUUUUGAACUUUUCCUAAAUUCCCAGGUUUUACAGAAAUCAGAAGGAAAUGGGCCAGAAAUCUGGAAUCCUCCAACCAAGAUUUCUGGGAAGACCUGGUCAUUUUUGGAAAGUAACCAGAAUAUUGCAACCCUACAUGUGAUAGAGACCAACUCAGGGACCUUGUGGGAGAUUGAUCCCUGGCCGAGUCAUACCAAAGAAUGUAUGGGACCAGAUGUUUCUCUGCUCGCUCCAUCAUUUCCUGGCUGCUAAAUAUGUAAUAGUUUGCCUGAUUUGAAAUGUCUUUUCAAUAACCAAAACUAUUGUAUUUUCAAGUAAAAUACACAAAAACAAAACUUAAGGGAAGCAUAGAAAUAACACACAUAGAACAGAUCUAACGCUUCUUAGAUGUGAAUUUGGUCGGGUUCUAAAAAAAAAAGUGACAUAUUGCAGUUUUAAAGGGAUAGAUUGAUGGUAAGGCCCUGCGAUAGACUACAGUCCUGUCCAGGGGGUGUACUUGUACAUCAACCUGCCUCACGGAACAGAAGAGAGACUCCUGCUCCUAUGAGCCGUUUUGGCUUGCACAAGCCAAGGCUCGUGCAAGACUACUUAUACAAUGUGAUACAAUACAACACACCCAUGCUAAGUA